RNAcentral lists this long non-coding RNA (1362 nucleotides) under Calidris pugnax (ruff). RNAcentral's name for it is "lncRNA (ENSCPUG00000007997.1)". Lineage: Eukaryota; Metazoa; Chordata; Aves; Charadriiformes; Scolopacidae. The record is from RNAcentral.
CCCCGCUCCUUCAGCUCCUGGGCCUGGGGGGGGACAGGGGAGGAAGAGGAGGAGGAGGGUAUGAGGAGGAGGAAGGUGCCAGGAUGAGGAGGAGGAAGGUGCAGUGCCCCACCGCAGCCCCCACCUCCCCCGCCGCCAGCGCACGGUUCCCCCGCUCCUUCAGCUCCUGGGCCUGCAGGAUGGGAGGAGGAGGAAGGUAUGAGGGUGAGGAAGGCACCAGGAGCAGGAGGAAGGCACCAGGAAGAGGAUAAGAAAGGUGCGAGGAAGAGGAAGGCACCAGGAGAACGAUGGGGUACGAGGAGGACAAAGGCACCAGGGGGAGGAGAAAGGCACCAGGGGAGAGGUGUGAGGAAGAGGAAGGCACCAGGGGGAGAGGGUACAAGGAGGAUGAGGAAGGUGCGAGGAAGAGGAACGCACCAGGGGGAGGGGGAAGGCGCCAGGAAGAGGAAGCAUGAGGAGGAUGAGGAAGGUGCAAGGAGGAGGAUGAGGAAGAGGAAAGGGCACCAGGAGGAGGAGGAAGGCACCAGGAAGAGAGAGCAUGAGGAGGAUGAGGAAGGUGCAAGGAGGAGGAUGAGGAAGAGGAAAGGGCACCAGGAGGAGGAGGAAGGCACCAGGAAGAGAGAGCAUGAGGAGGAUGAGGAAGGUGUGAGGAGGAGGGAGGUGCCAGGGGGAGGAGGGGGUACAAGGAGGAAGGUGCAAGGAGGAGGAAGGCACCAGGAGGAGAAGGGGAUACGAGGAGGAGGAAGGCACCAGGGGGAGGAGGAAGGCACCAGGGGAGAGGUGUGAGGAAGAGGAAGGCACCAGGGGGAGGAGGGAGUACGAGGAAGAGGAAGGCACCAGGACAAGAGGGUACAAGGAGAAUGAUGAAGGCACCAGGAAAAAGAAAAGUUACGAGAAGGAUGAGAAAGGUGCCAGGGGGAGGAGGGAGUACAAGGAGGAUGAGGAAGGUGUGAGGAAGAGGAAGGCACCAGGGGGAGGAGGGGAUGCGAGGAGGAUGAGGAAGAUGCGAGGAGGAAGAAGGCACCAGGAGGAAGGGAGCACAAGGAGGAGGAAGGCACCAGGGGGAGGGGGUACGAGGAGGAUGAAGGCACCAGGGGAAAGAGGAAGGCACCAGGAGCAGGAGGAGCAUGAUCAGGAGGAAGAAGGUGUGAGGAAGAGGAGGGAGCACGAGGAAGAAAAAGGUGUGAAAAUGAAAAAAGCACGAGGAAGAAGAAGGUGUGAGGAAGAGGAAGGGACCAGGAGGAUGAAGGGGGCACGAGGAAGAGGAAGGUGUGAGGAAGAGGAAAAGUAGGGGACGUGAGGAAGAGGAAGGUGUGAGGAAGAGGAAGGAAAUGGGGGGGGAGGAAGAGGAAGGAAAAGCGG